UCAAGGUCCGAACGGAUGAUCGCGAACCCGUAGAGCACCCAUAGGGAGCAGUAAGGGGGGCAACAACCACCGCCGCUUGCAUCUGCCUUCUUGGGUUCCUUUGCUGUCAUUGCCCUGCACGUCGUGCGRGGCGAGCGACAGGAAUAAAUUUCCAACACAGUGCGCGCUAAGGAGCAGCCCCGUUUGGAGAGCAGAGCGUGCGGCAAGCUUAUAGCGCCGCAGUACGCGAUGCGAUCUUGGUACGUCUAACCUGCAUAACUCUCGACAAUGGAUAUCUUGGCUCUCGCAUCGAUGAAGAACGUAGCAAAAUGCGAUACUUGGUGUGAAUUACAGAAUCCCAUGAACCAUCGAGUCUUUGAACGCAAGUUGCGCCCGAGGCUAUCUGGCCAAGGGCACGCCUGCCUGGGCGUCAUGCCUACCGAUGCUCUGCGCCCCUCCCCCUGUCCUGUGCGGUUCGGCGGUAGGCAUGGAUGUAGAGAUUGCCCCCCCCCAUGCAUCACUGUAUGGUGGGUUGAAGUGCAGGCCACCGGCUGGGCCGAACGCAGCGAGUGGUGGAUUGACACGCAUGCCACCGCCGAAGUGACCCAGCUCGAGUGGUGCACAGGAGGAACCCACGCCGAUGGGCAUCAUGUGAGCACUCCUUAGAACCUGACCCCAGGUCAGGCAGG
This 668-nucleotide ribosomal RNA is filed under the name Lycoris albiflora. RNAcentral describes it as "eukaryotic LSU rRNA". The stretch from base 257 to 412 matches the Rfam family "5.8S ribosomal RNA". The record is from RNAcentral. Lineage: Eukaryota; Viridiplantae; Streptophyta; Magnoliopsida; Asparagales; Amaryllidaceae.